Molecule: ribosomal RNA, 447 nt
Filed under: uncultured bacterium
Lineage: Bacteria
Description: partial 16S ribosomal RNA
Rfam family: Bacterial small subunit ribosomal RNA
Source: RNAcentral
AACGAACGCUAUCGGUAUGCUUAACACAUGCAAGUCGGACGGACUAAUUAGGGCUUGCUCCAAUUAGUUAGUGGCAGACGGGUGAGUAACACGUGGGAAUCUGCCCAUCAGUACGGAAUAACUUUUAGAAAUAAAAGCUAAUACCGUAUAUUCUCUACAGAGGAAAGAUUUAUCGCUGAUGGAUGAGCCCGCGUCAGAUUAGGUAGUUGGUGAGGUAACGGCUCACCAAGCCGACGAUCUGUAGCUGGUCUGAGAGGAUGAUCAGCCACACUGGGACUGAGACACGGCCCAGACUCCUACGGGAGGCAGCAGUGGGGAAUAUUGGACAAUGGGCGAAAGCCUGAUCCAGCAAUACCGAGUGAGUGAUAAAGGCCCUAGGGUUGUAAAGCUCUUUUAGCAAGGAAGAUAAUGACGUUACUUGCGGAAAAAGCCCCGGCUAACUCCGUG